AUGCAGGAAGAGCUGAAACCCCAGCCAGCUUUAUCAAGUAUGAGCUGGAGACGUGUAGUGGAGCCGCUGACCUUGAGAAAACAGCCUACAGGAGAUAGUCCCUGUGGCCUGGAGCAGAGAAGGGGAAAGGAUGAGGGAUGGAUCUGAUGGAGAAGACUUGGGACUAGACUGUUUAGGCUCAUCCCCUUCCUUCUUGCUGACUUUGAAAAAGAAAUCUUCAAUGAAUCCUGUAGUCACAAGGAAAUAAUUUUUUUCAGCAAUCAGUGUGAGUUUCCCCGGUCUAGCUUCCAGAUCAGAACACAGACCACCUGACACCUUAUUGUAGCCAAUGGAGAUGGAGCAGAGUUAGGCUCUACUUGAAUAUCUAACCCAUAGAAAUGCGAAGGAAUAAAUGUGUGUUUCUUUAAGAUGCUAA
Non-coding RNA from Ictidomys tridecemlineatus (thirteen-lined ground squirrel), 415 nucleotides. The record is from RefSeq and is a predicted model, not a curated record. NCBI's taxonomy places the organism in Eukaryota, Metazoa, Chordata, Mammalia, Rodentia, Sciuridae.